RNAcentral lists this ribosomal RNA (505 nucleotides) under uncultured bacterium. RNAcentral describes it as "partial 16S ribosomal RNA". It matches the Rfam family "Bacterial small subunit ribosomal RNA", at positions 28 to 507 of the family's 1533-position model. The record is from RNAcentral.
GACGAACGCUGGCGGCGUGCCUAAUACAUGCAAGUAGAACGCACAGUUUAUACCGUAGCUUGCUACACCAUAGACUGUGAGUUGCGAACGGGUGAGUAACGCGUAGGUAACCUGCCUGGUAGCGGGGGAUAACUAUGGGAAACGAUAGCUAAUACCGCAUAAUGUUAAUUAUUGCAUGAUAAUUAAUUGAAAGGUGCAAUUGCACCACUGCCAGAUGGACCUUCGUUGUAUUAGCUAGUAGGUGAGGUAACGGCUCACCUAGGCGACGAUACAUAGCCGACCUGGGAGGGUGAUCGGCCACACUGGGAGUGAGACACGGCCCAGACGGCUUCGGGAGGCAGCAGUAGGGAAUCUUCGGCAAUGGACGAAAGUCUGACCGAGCAACGCCGCGUGAGGGAAGAAGGUUUUCGGAUCGUAAAGCUCUGUUGUAAGAGAAGAACGGGUGUGGGAGUGGAAAGUUCACACUGUGACGGUAUCUUACCAGAAAGGGACGGCUAACUACGUG